UUUGACCUUUUGGGGUAAAACCUUGUAAAACUUAUUUUCAUGCAUUGGGGUUGAUUCAUUUAGCAUUUAUUAAUGUGAUUAAGUAACUUAUGAGUAGAUUCAAACGGAUUGUUGGUGGAAUCAAGAGGUAAAGUUAUAGUUGAGACUUGAGUGGUGUUCAAGGCAUCGAGGUAAGUGUUUGGUCUAACCUUAGCUUGAGGUAUUAGGAGUCGAUCCUUAUGUGCUAAUUGCUCUUUGUUGACUACGACGUAUAGGCAUGGUGACGAGUAUCUAUACGUUGGUGUCAAACAUAACCGGGAGUCCUAAAUUAGAAGUUGUUGUAUUCUUAAAUGACAUCACGCAUGCCUUAACUAAUAAUCUACCGUUUCGAGCAAAGAUUUGUUUAUCCUCAUAUACCCUAUUUAUGAUUAAGC
This 413-nucleotide long non-coding RNA is filed under the name Nicotiana benthamiana. RNAcentral's name for it is "long non-coding RNA (NBEN_LNC026374)". The record is from RNAcentral. Lineage: Eukaryota; Viridiplantae; Streptophyta; Magnoliopsida; Solanales; Solanaceae.